GGUGGCUCAGUGGGAGAGUGCUUGCCUUGCAUGCAUGAGGCCCUAGGUUCGAUUCCUCAGCACCA
Molecule: transfer RNA, 65 nt
Filed under: Dipodomys ordii (Ord's kangaroo rat)
Lineage: Eukaryota; Metazoa; Chordata; Mammalia; Rodentia; Heteromyidae
Rfam family: tRNA
About the family: Transfer RNA (tRNA) molecules are approximately 80 nucleotides in length. Their secondary structure includes four short double-helical elements and three loops (D, anti-codon, and T loops). Further hydrogen bonds mediate the characteristic L-shaped molecular structure. tRNAs have two regions of fundamental functional importance: the anti-codon, which is responsible for specific mRNA codon recognition, and the 3' end, to which the tRNAs corresponding amino acid is attached (by aminoacyl-tRNA synthetases). tRNAs cope with the degeneracy of the genetic code in two manners: having more than one tRNA (with a specific anti-codon) for a particular amino acid; and 'wobble' base-pairing, i.e. permitting non-standard base-pairing at the 3rd anti-codon position.
Source: Rfam by way of RNAcentral